CCUUCGGGUACAAUUGAGACAGGUGGUGCAUGGUUGUCGUCAGCUCGUGUCGUGAGAUGUUGGGUUAAGUCCCGCAACGAGCGCAACCCUUGUGUUUAGUUGCAAACAGGUCAAGCUGUGCACUCUAGACAGACUGCCGUGGACAACACGGAGGAAGGUGGGGAUGACGUCAAAUCAUCAUGCCCCUUAUGAUCUGGGCUACACACGUGCUACAAUGGCCGGUACACGGGCAGCGAAGGAGCGAUCCGGAGCGAAUCCUAAAAAGCCGGUCCCAGUUCGGAUUGCAGGCUGAAACUCGCCUACAUGAAGUUGGAGUUGCUAGUAAUCGCGAAUCAGAAUGUCGCGGUGAAUGCGUUCCCGGGUCUU
Molecule: ribosomal RNA, 366 nt
Filed under: uncultured Fusibacter sp.
Lineage: Bacteria; Bacillati; Bacillota; Clostridia; Eubacteriales; Fusibacteraceae
Description: bacterial SSU rRNA
Rfam family: Bacterial small subunit ribosomal RNA
Source: RNAcentral